CUCCGUAGCGGUUUCCUUCAGAGCAGGUGGUGACUGCUCCUUGGGGAGCAAGGAGGAGGCCCAGGCCGCGCGGCCAUGCUCGGGCGCGCAUCACCCGAAGCUACCCUGGAUUUGACUCUCUUCUAGUGACCAGUCCUUGCCAGGUCCUUCCAAAUAAGACUCACAGGAAAUCAAACCAGCAAGUGAUGGCCCCACAUGGCUACAAAGUAAAUCUUUUUGGAUUUUGCUCCUCUUCCUAAUUUUUUGGUGAAAAUGGCAAGAAUAAAAUAUACAGAAUGAGGGGAUUUUGUAAAGCCAAGCACCUCUGAGAGCUUUGGAUGAAAAGAAUGCAAACAUCAGAGCUCUGCAACCCAGCAGAGGACGCCUCCAGAAAAGUGUGUAACCACAUGGAGCUUUUCAGCAGCCUGAUCUGUUUUCGUUGUCAGUGGCUCCACCAGAGAACUUUGGUGCUGAGAGGCAGAAUGGCACUCAGCCACCUACUGAUGAAGUUACAGCUGCACUAGCUUACUAGGCAAGAUCCACCCACUUCACCCAGUAUGGUAACUGGAGGAAACAGCUGGAACUGGUGACGGCAGAGAAGGAAGUUCAAACAUUUCCAACUUGGUCUGCAUCUUUUUAGUUCUUUUACUUCUUAUUAAUCCAGAGGAGAAAACAGCUGGUUCAUUCGCAAUUCCAAAAAAAAUCCGAAGUUUUAGGUAACAGCGUUCUUUGCCUGGUACAUCAGUUUGUGUGAUAAAGAUCUGCAUACUAUGUUAAAAUAUAACAAUGGGAUAUUUGUAUAAGGCUCUUCUCUGCUACACUUGAAAGUGAGCUCGUCUGAGAAACUAUUUUAUCAGUUUUAUUAUCCCACAUCAGUAGCUUUUGCUGUCAAAGAUUUCAUAAGCUAAAUUUUCUAGCAAAAUUUCUUUCUAGAAAUUCCAUCUACAAUAUUCAGUUACUUUUAGCGGUUUUAUUGUGACAUAUGCAUUAAAAUGCAUAAAUCAGUUAUUCAGUUGUAAUGAGUAAUUGUAAAAGAAACCUCCAUGUAACCAACCAGGUCAAGAACUGGAACACUGCCAGCACCCCAGAAGUCCCCCAGUGACCUUCCUGAACACAACUCUUUCCCUCCCUUUUAGAGUUCUUUGUUUAGAGUCAGUGAUAUUAUAAGGCUGGAGGAAGACCCAGAGAAAUUAAAUGACUUGCCCAGGGUCAGAAGAGCAACUAAAAAGGAAGCCUGGACUCGGCCCCAAGUCUUCAAAAUAGAGUAUGCUCGCUAUUAUAUCACAGUGGCCCUCAGGCUCGCUAUUAUAUCACAGUGGUCCUCAGGCUCCUGGAGCAGUAAGGUAAAUUAAUUCUCCUGGUCUAUAGAGUAUUUUUCACUUCCACAUGGCAAACCUCUUAUUCUACCGUUGGAUAAGGUUACUUUAUUUUAAGCCUAACAGCUUUAGGAUCAGAUUAAGAUUGGUCUAAAUAAAAAUAAAAGAAUAGGGGCUUCCCUGGUGGCGCAGUGGUUGAGAGUCCGCCUGCCGAUGC
This is a long non-coding RNA of Aethalodelphis obliquidens (Pacific white-sided dolphin), 1512 nucleotides long. RefSeq lists it as uncharacterized. The transcript is spliced from 3 exons. The record is from RefSeq and is a predicted model, not a curated record. NCBI's taxonomy places the organism in Eukaryota, Metazoa, Chordata, Mammalia, Artiodactyla, Delphinidae.